Molecule: ribosomal RNA, 270 nt
Filed under: uncultured bacterium
Lineage: Bacteria
Description: partial 16S ribosomal RNA
Rfam family: Bacterial small subunit ribosomal RNA
Source: RNAcentral
UUUGAUGGCGACCGGCGCACGGGGUGAGUAACACGUAUCCAACCUGCCGAUGACUCGGGGAUAGCCUUUCGAAAGAAAGAUUAAUACCCGAUGGCAUAGUUCUUCCGCAUGGUAGAACUAUUAAAGAAUUUCGGUCAUCGAUGGGGAUGCGUUCCAUUAGCUUGUUGGCGGGGUAACGGCCCACCAAGGCAUCGAUGGAUAGGGGUUCUGAGAGGAAGGUCCCCCACAUUGGAACUGAGACACGGUCCAAACUCCUACGGGAGGCAGCAG